CAAUAGCGUAUAUUGAAGUUGUUGCGGUUAAAAAGCUCGUUGAGGUCGAACAGUGCCGCCCUAUGGGUGCGCAACUGGCUCGGCUUCGGCAUCUUCUUGGAGAGCGCAUCUGCACUUAACUGUGUGGAUCGUACUUCAAGUCAGUUACUUUGAGGAAUUGUGAGUGUUCCAAGCAGGCUUACGCCGUUGAAUCCGUUAGCAUGGAAUAAUAGGAUAGGACCUCGGUUCUAUUUUGUUGGUUUUGAGAGCUGGGGCAGCGAUUGAUAGGGACGGAUGGGGGCGUCCGAACUUUACUGUCAGAGGUGAAAUUCUUAGAUCGGUCAAAGGCGAACUACUGCGAACGCAUUCGCCAAGAAUGUUUUCUUUAA
RNAcentral lists this ribosomal RNA (368 nucleotides) under uncultured eukaryote. RNAcentral's name for it is "partial 18S ribosomal RNA". It matches the Rfam family "Eukaryotic small subunit ribosomal RNA", at positions 592 to 976 of the family's 1831-position model. The record is from RNAcentral.